Long non-coding RNA from Daktulosphaira vitifoliae (grape phylloxera), 2692 nucleotides. RefSeq lists it as uncharacterized. Lineage: Eukaryota; Metazoa; Arthropoda; Insecta; Hemiptera; Phylloxeridae. The transcript has 5 exons. The record is from RefSeq and is a predicted model, not a curated record.
AUUUGAAUUAGCUUUUUAUGAAAUCACUUUAUUGUAAGGUAGAUAUGUGCUAGGACAUUUUAAUAUGAAAAUAAGUAUAAGUAUUUAUUAGAAGAAAUUUUAUCGAUUGUUCUCAAUCAACUAAUAAGAUCUAUAUAUUUGCUUAAUAUUAAGUUAUAAAAUUCGCAUUACAUUUCUGUUAUAACCAUUAUAUCAUUUAUUGUCAAGUCCAAUACGGAUCAUUUAAUCCGCUUUGAGUCAACUUAAUGUUUUACUUCAUAUUUUUAACUGUGCAUUAAGUUAUCAACCGGAGACGGACUAAUCACAUGUCCCGAAAUAUAAAUGGUUAAGAAAACCUCCCAAGUUAUCAAGAUACUACUAUAGAAUAAAAAAAUUCACCAGUGAAAGUUCACUUGAUAAGGUUUAUAAUAUUAAUUAUGUCAAAGAAAAUGAUGUAUAUGUAACACCAGGCCCCACUGAAUAAACGCAGCGCCCGGUGGUAUUCACGCGGGUUUGUUAACGUUCGUGGUUUUAUUUUGUCUUAAAUCUUUGGCUAUAUCGAGGAUAAGGAAUAAUGUGAGUGCACUGUAUGAGUGAGUAAUUUUACAUUAUAUAUUUAUAACAAUUAAACGUAUUAUACAAGAAUUACAAAAUUUUAUAUACACCAAUGUGGACAGAGGGAACACUUAAUACUAAAGCCACAAAGGCGCUGAUAUAAACAAGUAAUAAAUUAUAAAAGUGAGUAAGUCUUAAAAAGAAUAUAAACUAGCAUUAUACUUAUCAGCUAAUUUUAACGGCUGGUGUUAAUGUUGAUUAUUGAAAGAAUCAAUUGAUAUCAAAUGCAUGCAAGUAGCUGACCAUCGUGUACAAUAUGCUGUGAACGGUACUGUGAUGUAUCUCAGAAAAUAUAUAGACUCAGCGGCGAUAUACUGAGUGCACAGGGUGCGACAAUCGCAAAGGUGAUAUUUUUCUUUUUACAACAAAACGAAUACAAAACUACUGACUAGCAAGCACCAUAGAGCUUAUAGCUAAAAAAACGCUAAGAUGAUGGCGACAAUUCAGACAUAGAGAGGACCGACAACAACUCGAUGUAGCACAAUAAUAGCAUAAAUAAUCACAACACAAUUUCGCGACAGCAUAUUGAUGUGUAUCUAAAGUAACCAAACCCUCUAAAGUAUAGAGAAGAUGUACUUCUUAUAUCUUAAAUUAUAAUUUGUUAGCUACUUUGGACAAAUAUAAGCUAAAUGAAAUUAAACUUAUUAUAUUUUUCUUAAAUAAGUAUAAAUAAAUUUUUUAUGACAAAAAUAAAAGGAUCAUUAAAUCGUUAAAAAUACUGGACUUGACUUGGAUUUAGUAUUAUGUUUUCUAUUUAUUAACACAAUAGCCUGAUGGCAAAUUAUCUGAUUAUGGCUGAGUAUUAAAAUAUAAUUUUCUAACACAAUAAGCAUCAUCCAGAAAAAUUUUUCGGGUGUCGGAUUCCUCAAGCGGCAGCGGUAUUGGUAGUGACGUCAUGUCUGUAUGUACUGUUACAUAUAUUCAGACAUGAUGUCACAAUUAGUAUAUAAAACAUUUUAUCAAAAAUUGCUGUACACCGUUGCGAUAAUUUUAUUAUUAUCAUGAAUAUGAUAACAGCGUUUUAAAAGCUAUUAGUAUUAUUAGAGGUUUUUAAAUAAUUUGAUUGAAAAUUAUUAAGUAAGCAAGUAUGUACUUCACUCGGUUUUUGGAAAUGCUUUGAGUCAAAAUUAUUAUUACCUGAUAAUAAUAAUUUAUUACAUUAUUCAAUACCUGCGUACCCUUAAAACGCAGCGUCCUCUGGUUUUCGUAUCAUUCAGUUGGUUCACGAUUAAGGUGUUUUAUAACAACAAGAAGACAAUAUUAAGAAAGACAUUAUGACUAACGCCAAUAAUUGAAUCAUGUGAUACGGUAAGCGGUGAUGAUGAACAUAUCACCUCUUGAGCUCGAAUAUGUUUCCUGAGCUUAUAAAGGAGAGACAAUAAAUAAACCGGUAUUUUCUGAUAUAGAUUCGGGUGGGGUGACUAGUUUAAGUAAUUAUACCGAUUGUGUCGUGGACCAUGCACCACUAUUCAUUCAUUCGUUGAGAGAAUUAAAUGAACCGAUUGCCCACUGGACUCAAAACAGCAACCUGAACUUGUUCGCGAGAACAUAAUAAAUGCCCCUAAUGAAUGGGGUGAAGACAAUGACUGCCACACAAAUUCAUUCCUCAUACAAUCUGCAGAAACAGGGAAAUGAUUUGAUUUCAUGUAAUUUUUUUAAUAUUUAUGGAUAUAUAAUAUUAAUAAAGAUCAUUUAAUCUCGACACCUUUCUUAUUUAUUUAUAAAACAUUGAAAUAAUAUAGCAUAAAUAGAGAAAAAAUACUUUUUAAUGGUGAUGUACAUAGAGAAUAUUGUGUAAAGGUGAUGGUGGUGGUGGAGGAGAUGGUAUUCGGUCAACACCUAAUGGCCAUGAGUCAACUAUAAAAAUGACCUGAAUGUAUAUGAUAGAUUUUUACUCUAAUUCAUAGUUAUCAUUUAUCGUUGAACACACAUAUAAACAGACAUAAUUUUUUCUGACUUGAUAUUUAUUAUACGUUUUUUUUAAGUUACUUAUUCAAGUAAUAUCUUAGUAAUAGUUUAAUAUUAUUUAAGUUAUUAAUAGUAUUAAUUUUAAUUAUAGUAGUCUUUAAGCAUUUAUAUGCGUUUUGUUAAAUUAAUC